RNAcentral lists this non-coding RNA (377 nucleotides) under Pongo abelii (Sumatran orangutan). Lineage: Eukaryota; Metazoa; Chordata; Mammalia; Primates; Hominidae. The record is from RNAcentral.
AGCCGCCGCCGCCCGGGCGCAACUCAUUGCCGGGACAAAAAAUGCAACCACUUUGUUGAACGGAACUGGCCAAUAGUGCCCUUGACUCGGACUGAUGACGCAAGCAGACGAAAAAGCAAAGAGGAACUUUACAAACUGUUACAGUUUUCCGUCAUCACUUGACGGCUGACAAGAAGCCUCUUUGAAUUCCAGUAUACAUGAUCACAUUUUAAAACCUUCAAGACGCCGUUUAAUCAGGAGUUGUAAGGCAUAUUUGUUAGGGAGAGCUGCACUUUAAAAAUUAUACAGACAUCACCUGAAGUUAUUAAAGUUAUCAAAACAUAUAAAAACCUUCAAGUAAGAGGCUACUCCCCAGGAAACGUGUGGAGCCAGUGAAA